UCCAUGUCUAAUUCUUCUUGUU
This 22-nucleotide microRNA is filed under the name Corchorus olitorius. Its description in RNAcentral is "bmo-miR-3375-". The record is from RNAcentral. Lineage: Eukaryota; Viridiplantae; Streptophyta; Magnoliopsida; Malvales; Malvaceae.